RNAcentral lists this ribosomal RNA (566 nucleotides) under uncultured bacterium. Its description in RNAcentral is "partial 16S ribosomal RNA". It matches the Rfam family "Bacterial small subunit ribosomal RNA", at positions 357 to 923 of the family's 1533-position model. The record is from RNAcentral.
UGGGAUUGAUUCGAGCAAGGCGAACCGCAGAUGCCGCGUGUGUGAAGAAGGCCUUCGGGUUGUAAAGCACUUUUGUCCGGAAAGAAAUCCUUGGCUCUAAUACAGUCGGGGGAUGACGGUACCGGAAGAAUAAGCACCGGCUAACUACGUGCCAGCAGCCGCGGUAAUACGUAGGGUGCAAGCGUUAAUCGGAAUUACUGGGCGUAAAGCGUGCGCAGGCGGUUUGCUAAGACCGAUGUGAAAUCCCCGGGCUCAACCUGGGAACUGCAUUGGUGACUGGCAGGCUAGAGUAUGGCAGAGGGGGGUAGAAUUCCACGUGUAGCAGUGAAAUGCGUAGAGAUGUGGAGGAAUACCGAUGGCGAAGGCAGCCCCCUGGGCCAAUACUGACGCUCAUGCACGAAAGCGUGGGGAGCAAACAGGAUUAGAUACCCUGGUAGUCCACGCCCUAAACGAUGUCAACUAGUUGUUGGGGAUUCAUUUCCUUAGUAACGUAGCUAACGCGUGAAGUUGACCGCCUGGGGAGUACGGUCGCAAGAUUAAAACUCAAAUGAAUUGACGGGGUCAUA